CCUACGGGAGGCAGCAGUGGGGAAUAUUGGGCAAUGGACGGGAGUCUGACCCAGCAAAGCCGCGUGAGGGAAGAAGGCAUAGGGUAUGGUAAAUUCUUUUAGUGGGGGAACGCAGAAGGCGAUACCCCUUGAGUAAACCGCAGCUGACGACGGACCAGCAGCCACGGUCAUACGUAGGGCGCAAGUAUUGUCCAGAUUGACUUGGUGUAACGGGCGUUCAGCCGGAGAGAAAAGUGCGGUGUGAAAUCCACGGGCUCAACCCGCGAACUGCAGUUGAAACUGGUUCCCUUGAGUGUGGGAGAGGUAUGCGGAAUUCGUGGUGUAGCGGUGAAAUGCGUAGAUAUAAGGAAGAACACCAGUGGCGAAGGCGGAAUACUGGCUGAUAACUGACGGUGAGGCGCGAAAGCGUGGGGAGCAAACAGGAUUAGAUACCCCAGUAGUC
This 442-nucleotide ribosomal RNA is filed under the name uncultured bacterium. RNAcentral describes it as "partial 16S ribosomal RNA". It matches the Rfam family "Bacterial small subunit ribosomal RNA", at positions 338 to 795 of the family's 1533-position model. The record is from RNAcentral.